UAGAUUAAGGGAAUUCAUUUAAUGAAAACACAUUGGUAUAAUUAAAUUACAGUAACAAAACAGUAUUCAAGUGACAAGUGACAUCUAUGUAUACAGGACAGCAGCCUCUAAGUUGCAGGGUUGAGUAACUUGGUGGUAGCUGGCUAGUGAUGGCUAUUUAACAGUCUGAUGGCCUUGAGAUAGAAGCUGUUUUUCAGUCUCUCGUUCCCAGCUUUGAUGCACCUGCACUGACCUCGCCUUCUGGAUGAUAGCGGGGUGAACAGGCAGUGGCUCGGGUGGUUGAUGUCCUUGAUGAUCUUUUUGGCCUUCCUGUGACAUCGGGUGCUGUAGGUGUCCUGGAGGGCAGGCAGUGUGCCCCUGGUGAUGCGUCGAGCAGAUCGCACCACCCUCUGGAGAGCCUUGCGGUUGCUGGCGGUUCAGUUGGUAUACAUCUGUGUGUGUGAUUGCGUGUGUGACUGUGUGUGUGCGUCCAUAAGAAAAGGAGACCCAGUACCCAGUGAUAACCAGUUUAUUCUUAGCUCCAUGUUACUGUAGGCUAUGUACAUAAUUGACAGAGCAGAGUGAGGCACAUUGUCUGAACACUUCUACACAAUAUACUAGAUGUAUAGCACUGGUGAUGCUAACACAAGGCUAAAGCAUACAACAUGUGAUGCUAGUUCUGGGCUAAAGUAUAGCAUAUGUGAUGCUAGUUAUAUGCUAAAGUAUUGCCCAUGUUAGCACAAUACCUAAGUAUAGCACUGGUGAUGCUAAAGCUAGGCUAAAGUAAGCUAAAGCAAAGCCAAGGUGAUGUUAACAAUCUGGUAAAGUAUAGCACUAGCAACGCUAGGUUAAAGUAUAGCACAUGUGAUGCUAAAGUAGCAUAGCACAUGCAAUGCUAGGUUAAAUGCUAGGCUAACACUAGGCUAAAUUAAUGUGAAGCACCUUUGAUCGUGGCGAGAACACCAGCUGAUUGCAUACGAGUGAGUGAGGAACUAACACAACACACCAUACAGAAAGAGACAGAGAGCCGUGUCAUGUUGCUGGUGACAGUAUUGAACCAGUGUGUGUAUUAGUGUGACAGCAGAAGAUAGUUAUAAUAUAACCUAAACCUAGUUUCUAUAUGGGCCAGUUUCCCAGGCAAAGAUUAAGCCUAGUCCUGGACUAAAUGCUGCUUUCAAUAGAGAAUCUCCAUUGAACUUUAUUUUUAGUCCAGGACUAGGUUUAUCCUGUAGUGUCGGUCCGGAUGAGCUACGGUCGGUCCGGAUGAGUUGGGGUCGGUCCGGAUGAGUUGGGGUCGGUCCGGAUGAGUUGGGGUCGGUCCGGAUGAGUUGGGGUCGGUCCGGAUGAGUUGGGGUCGGUCCAGAUGAGUUGGGGUCGGUCCGGAUGAGCUGGGGUCGGUCCGGGAGCUGGGGUCGGUCCGGAUGAGCUGGGGUCGGUCCGGAUGAGCUGGGGUCGGUCCGGAUGAGCUGGGGUCGGUCCGGAUGAGGUAGGGUCGGUCCGGAUGAGGUAGGGUCGGUCCGGAUGAGGUAGGGUCGGUCCGGAUGAGGUAGGGUCGGUCCGGAUGAGUUAGGAUUGGUCCGGAUGAGUUAGGAUUGGUCCGGAUGAGUUAGGAUUGGUCUGAAUGAGUUAGCCACGUUGUGAUUACUUUCUAGUCGCUAGUGCAUUAGUAUGAAUGACCCUGUGCAUGUAAUACAUACAGCCAUACAGGGGUGUAAAGCCUAAUCUUACAAAACAAAAUGAUUUUUAUUUAGUACAUAUUAUGUCCAUUGUUGUAUACAACAUCAAAAUACUAGAGUAGCACAUCCUCAGAGAUUUCUUCUAACACAUCUUUCUAUUCUAGUCUAAAUAAAUUCAAACCAUGAUUUUGACAUCAUUUCAGAGAAACAGGAGAUAAUAGUUAACAUAGGUCAUGUAUCUACCACUCUCCCUAGGUAGAGAAGAUAAGAACAGCCAGGUAGAGAGAGCAGAGAAAUAGGAGAGAACUAGUUAUGGUAGAGAAGAUAAGAACAGCCAGGUAGAGAGAGCAGAGAAAUAGGAGAGAACUAGUUAUGGUAGAGAAGAUAAGAACAGCCAGG
Molecule: long non-coding RNA, 2054 nt
Organism: Oncorhynchus tshawytscha (Chinook salmon)
Lineage: Eukaryota; Metazoa; Chordata; Actinopteri; Salmoniformes; Salmonidae
Source: Ensembl